CUUGGUCAUUUAGAGGAAGUAAAAGUCGUAACAAGGUUUCCGUAGGUGAACCUGCGGAAGGAUCAUUAAAGAGUAAGGGUGCUCAGCGCCCGACCCCCAACCCUUUGUUGUUAAAACUACCUUGUUGCUUUGGCGGGACCGCUCGGUCUCGAGCCGCUGGGGAUUCGUCCCAGGCGAGCGCCCGCCAGAGUUAAACCAAACUCUUGUUAUUUAACCGGUCGUCUGAGUUAAAAUUUUGAAUAAAUCAAAACUUUCAACAACGGAUCUCUUGGUUCUCGCAUCGAUGAAGAACGCAGC
Molecule: ribosomal RNA, 297 nt
Filed under: uncultured fungus
Lineage: Eukaryota; Fungi
Description: partial 5.8S ribosomal RNA
Rfam family: Eukaryotic small subunit ribosomal RNA (bases 1-68)
Source: RNAcentral